Molecule: long non-coding RNA, 742 nt
Filed under: Numida meleagris (helmeted guineafowl)
Lineage: Eukaryota; Metazoa; Chordata; Aves; Galliformes; Numididae
Description: lncRNA (ENSNMEG00000012696.1)
Source: RNAcentral
AGGCGCUCCCUGCGGCGGUAACGGCAGCGAUAGGGGCACGGGGCUACCUGCGCCCCGCGGCGCCUCACGUGACGCUGCGUGACGUCACGACAGCGCCGCCGCCUCUCGCGUGCUUUCCCGUGAAGUCCCAGGGGGCGCGGAGGGCGGGAAGGAAAGGAGUCGGCCAAUGGGAGAGCGAGGGGGCGGGGCCUCCGGGCAGGGCGGGGCCGCGGCGCUGAGGGGCGGGGCGGGAGCGGGACGGGGGCGGGAGGGGCGGUGCUUCAGCCGGGGCUGAGGGCCUGAAGAGCGGAGCAUGCGUUUGAAAGUUUGCAGCGUGGUUGCUUGGCUCAUGCUGGAGGAUGCUGGGGCCAGCUGGAGUCCACCACGUGCUCCGCGCAGGGGCAGGCCCAGGCUCUCCAGGCGGCCGGGAGCGUGGAGGAUCGGCUGCCACCCGUGUUCCAGGGGAGGGAGCAGGGUAUGGGCCGAAGGAAGGUGGAACCACAGAGAGGGCAGCAGAAUCAUAAGAAUCACAGAAUUGCUCAGGUUGGAAAAGACCUUCAAGAUCAUCAAGUCCAACUGCAACCUAACCAUACUGCCCUCCAAACAGUUUUUAAACACAUUCAGGGAUGGUGACUCAACCACCUCCCUGGGGAGCCUGUUCCAGUGCUUAACGACCCUUCCUGUAAAGAAGUUUGUCCUGAUAUCCAACCUAAACCUCCCCUGGAGCAACUUGAGGCCAUUUCCCCUUCCAAUGGGCUUCUGA